This 303-nucleotide ribosomal RNA is filed under the name uncultured bacterium. Its description in RNAcentral is "partial 16S ribosomal RNA". It matches the Rfam family "Bacterial small subunit ribosomal RNA", at positions 507 to 809 of the family's 1533-position model. The record is from RNAcentral.
AGCAGUAGCCGCGGGAAAACAGAGGGUGCGAGCGUUAAUCGGAUUUACUGGGCGUAAAGCGUGCGUAGGCGGCUUUUUAAGUCGGAUGUGAAAUCCCUGAGCUUAACUUAGGAAUUGCAUUCGAUACUGGGAAGCUAGAGUAUGGGAGAGGAUGGUAGAAUUCCAGGUGUAGCGGUGAAAUGCGUAGAGAUCUGGAGGAAUACCGAUGGCGAAGGCAGCCAUCUGGCCUAAUACUGACGCUGAGGUACGAAAGCAUGGGGAGCAAACAGGAUUAGAUACCCGUGUAGUCCCUGUCUCUUAUAA